This 2174-nucleotide long non-coding RNA is filed under the name Homo sapiens (human). RNAcentral describes it as "HSALNT0204808". The record is from RNAcentral. Lineage: Eukaryota; Metazoa; Chordata; Mammalia; Primates; Hominidae.
AAACAACUCUUCUCACCUAUUUCAAUGCAGCUAUUCUGAGCUUUGUAUUUGCCUGGCAUACUGCAAAUUCUUAACUGGUUCCUAGAAUUCCCAUAAAGAUUUUUUUGGUCUGUACAUUUUUGUUAAUUUACUUUGUCUGUGAAGGAACCUGGGCUGGGACUUUUUAUUCUCUCAUCUUGCUGACAUAGCUUCCCCUUGUUUCUGCUAUUGAGUCCAUCUGAUGUAUUCAUGGUUGAAGUGUCAAAAUAUCUGCAACUUAUUUUCGAACACUCAGAAAAAAAUAGAACAUUUGGAGAAAAACAAGAAGAGAGAGAAAAAGAGAAAUUUUAUCUUCUGAAGAUAGCUUCUGUGACACAGUUUUUGAAAUUUCCUCAAGUUUCUUCAACUCCUCUCCAAACGAAAACAAGUUAAACAACUAUAGUAAAAAAUAUUGUAAAACAUACAUUUAUAACAAAAUUAAGCAAGUAAGUAUCCCCAGUGCACUCCAAAUGAUGCAAACAUGUGGGUCAAACCACUAAAAGCAAUCAGAACCCUAGGUUAUUAUCAACGGUUCAGCAGAAACAGGAAGGAAGGCAAAGUGACUCAUGAUAGCCUCACAAAUCUACAACAAAGAGUUACCAUGUAAUUUGAGAGACCAUUGCUCCUUCUAGUAAGCAUGGAAAGCCAAGCUGAGAAUAGCUGCUCCAAUAAAGAGAGGCUUCAUCUUCAAGGACAGGGCACAAUUACAGUGGGAAAUAUGUGAAACUUCUGGAUCCUAUGAACUCUCAAACUUUCUGAAGGUCACUUCCAUUUGAAAGCUAUACAUUGAGGAGAACUUGUUAGGAGUAGAACCUGAAUUCAGCAGGAUAAGGCUGAAGUGAAAAAUAUGUAUAUAUAACAGCAGUUUUCAGACACUGGAUAGCAGACAUCAUAGAAAAGUAAUUCCUGAUAAAAGUGAAAAUAAACAAGAUGAGCCCUCCUGUUCACCAAGCUCACAACCUAGAGGUGAUUAAUACGUUUCAGGACAGGGAAGAAGAAAGCAGGUUCAGCUCAGUGACUUAUAGAGACCGAGUUCGGUGUUUCGAGAGGCAAAGGUGUCUAGAGAUUACAGACAAAGAACAAAUAACAGAGCUGUAAGAGAAAGUUCUGUAGAGAGUUUCAGAGGAUGCCCCAUGAAUCUCUAUCUGAGUAGUAAUUAGCACAUGGGUAUAAGGAACAUUGCCAAGGCCGGGAAAGGAGCCACCCAAAUGAAGUAGGUGAAUCAACUCCUGGCGCUCUCACAGAAAUAGAAUAUUUUUACCAUGCCAGGUGAAAAUAAAUACACAAUACAACGAACUUCAAGUAAAUAAUCAGAAGAGUAUUACCUCAACAGUGGAACAGAAUUAUUAGUAAACUGAAGGCUGUUGUGUUGUUGGAAUCCUGCCUAGCAAACCUGUGAUACAAUCCUGCCACAAUCAAAGAUUUUCCAGUAACUUGACCAUGUUAAAGGACAGUGCUCAAGUUCUCCCAAUGAGACAUAGGAAUGUGAAUAGCCCUAGUUGUUGCUGUUUUAGUUAAAUUUGUAGUUAACUUCCUCUAAUGAGGAAACCACCAGAUCUGGGUAUCUUUACUGGUAAAUUCUAGUAAGUAUUUAAAAAGGACAUAGCACCAAACACACACCCACAUAAACUGUCACACACUCUUAUGCAGUUUAUACCAAAUAUUCAUUCCUUACUAAAAUUCAUUUUUGUUAUUAGCAACAUUAGCAGAGGCAGACCACCAAAUCUGGGAUUUCUCCAUGGUUCUGACUUCUAUUAUUUCACUUUUUUUUUUUCAAUUCUCUCUCUACUUCGUCCCCCUUGUAGAAGAUAUCCAAUUUGUCUUCUUGUUUCUUGCUGGUGUUUAUUCGUUUUUGUUAGUUUGUUGCCUUGUCUAAUAUUGCUAAUCAUUCUUAUUGGUUUGAUCAUACCUUUAUAAAAUUUACCCUCCUUUCCUAUCUGCUUAUCAGAUUUUUCCACCAAACAAAUGCAAGAGUUUACUUAAAUAUAAAAAAUUCACCUCAACUACAUGCCUUGCUAAAAUUAUAAAACCGACAGUGUGGAAAGGAGAAGCAGAAAGAGAUAGUAAGAUACAGAGAGAUAUUAACUGAAAGUAUUGCCUCUUUAUUUUAGCAUACCAUAGGCGUAUGACAUGAAUUUUCAUCAAUAACAUCUUCG